GAUGAACGCUGGCGGCGUGCCUAAUACAUGCAAGUCGAGCGCACGGACGAGAAGCUUGCUUCUCUGAUGUUAGCGGCGGACAGGAGAGUAAAACGUGGAUACCCUACCUAUAAGACUGGGAUAACUUCGGGAAACCGGAGCUAAUACAGGAUAAUAUUUUGAACUGCAUGGUUCAAAAGUGAAAGACGGUCUUGCUGUCACUUAUAGAUGGAUCCGCGCUGCAUUAGCUAGUUGGUAAGGUAACGGCUUACCAAGGCAACGAUGCAUAGCCGACCUGAGAGAGUGAUCGGCCCCGGUGGGACAGAGACACGGUCCAGACUCCGACGGGAGGCCGCAGUAGAGAACCAUCCGAAAUGGGCGAAAGCAUGACGGAGCAAUGCGGCGUGAGUGAUGAAGGUCUUUGGAUCGGAAAACUCUGUGUUUAGGGAAGAAAAUGUGUGUAAGUAACUGUGGACAACUUGACGGGACCUAAUCAGAAAGCCAAGGCUAACUACGUG
RNAcentral lists this ribosomal RNA (497 nucleotides) under uncultured bacterium. RNAcentral's name for it is "partial 16S ribosomal RNA". It matches the Rfam family "Bacterial small subunit ribosomal RNA", at positions 28 to 507 of the family's 1533-position model. The record is from RNAcentral.